This 606-nucleotide long non-coding RNA is filed under the name Physcomitrium patens. RNAcentral describes it as "long non-coding RNA (PPAT_LNC009189)". The record is from RNAcentral. Lineage: Eukaryota; Viridiplantae; Streptophyta; Bryopsida; Funariales; Funariaceae.
UUAAGAAAUCUUAAAGAAAUAUUAUAAUCAUCACAAAUAUAUCUUAAAUAAAUUUUAAUUAAGUCUUAAUUUAAUCUUAAUUGAAACUCUAAUAGACUUCAAUAAAAUCCUAGGCCAAAUCCUAAAUCUCAAGAAAAUUCUAAAUCCUAAAUAAAAUCCUAAAUAAAUCCUAAAUUCUAAAUCCUAAAUCGAAUCCUAGACAAAUUAUAAAUCCUAAAUCAAAUCUUAAAUAAAUCCUAAAUCCUAAAUUAUAUCCUAAACAAAUCUUAAAUCUUAAAUUAAAUCGUAGAUAAAUCCUAAAUCCUAAAUCAAAUCGUAAAUAAAUCCUAAAUCCUAAAUCAAAUCCUAAACAAAUCCUAAAUCCUAAACCAAAUCCUAAACAAAUCUUAAACCUUAAACCAAAUUCUAAAAAAAUUCUAAAUCCUAAAUCAAAUCCUAAGGUAGAUUAGAAUCCUAAUAUCUAUUGAUUAAACCAUUGAUCUUGCUUAAACAUUUAUAUACCUCUCAAUUUAUUAGUUAAAAAAUAAUACAAAAUUUUUGAAGAUAAUCACAUUUAUCAAAUGGAAGAAAAUCCUAAAAACUGCUUGGAUAUUGGCUAGUCUUCUA